Molecule: ribosomal RNA, 381 nt
Filed under: Triticum aestivum (bread wheat)
Lineage: Eukaryota; Viridiplantae; Streptophyta; Magnoliopsida; Poales; Poaceae
Description: partial small subunit ribosomal RNA
Source: RNAcentral
AUGCAUGGUCAGGUCGGCAUCGACCUGGACGGCUUCCCCCUCGACCACGAGUUUUCGGACGACUAUGGGCUAGAGGAAGAGGACGAGUGCGACAUCGAAGUGGAGCCUUUCGAGGACGAUCUCGCCAACCAAGCCGCCGGUCCUAAGCCGAAGCGCAAGAGCAAGCACACGAAGGCGUACAUAGCUGCCGAGGACAAGCUUCUUUGUGAGUGUUGGUGAGACAUUGGACAAGACCCAAAGACGGGCACCGAGCAAAAGCAUUCAACCUUUUGGACUCGUGUGCACCGAGAGUUUCAUGAGCGCAAGAAGUUUCCACCUUACCAAUUUGUGAGCACGCGCGGGUGGAUCUCCUUUUCCAAGCGGUGGACGGUGAUCCAAUAA